AAACAUUUCAAUCAAGAAACAACUGCAUGACCAAGUGAUGUUGACAAUGCGACUGCAAGAGGAAAAAAGCAUUUUGGUGUUGGAGAUGGCACAACACUGCACAUGGUUGCAGAGCCUGGCAGUGGUUCUGAAGAACAAGAUAGCUGAGGAGGAUAAGGGAAAUGAGGGACUUUGCUGUCUCUUAAGAAGAAGACUGUCAGAGGUGUCAGAAAGGUUGCAGGUGCUCGUCCAACAGUACAAGACUGCUUUAGGCCCUGAGGCCUCUGCCCUACAUCUUGAAGCAGAAGAUCAAUGUGGCCUCAGUAGUCCAGACACCAGUGAGGAUGAAGAAGAAAACACAAUUUAGAUGGAAGCUGCACAAAGGACUGUGUUGAAGGAAAUGGACUUGCCUAGUAUUUGUGUAUUUUUAGUAUGCUGAUUGAUUUACCACAUCAAAAUCUGUAUGCAUUCUAUAUUGUUGAAAAUUAAACCUGUCUGUAGAUUGCCAAGCAAUUCAGUAAGCACCAGGGGCGUGUCUAUGUGGUGGCCAGGUGGCACCGGCCCCCCCUGAAAUUUGGCUG
This 560-nucleotide long non-coding RNA is filed under the name Sinocyclocheilus anshuiensis. RNAcentral's name for it is "lncRNA (ENSSANG00000016865.1)". The record is from RNAcentral. Lineage: Eukaryota; Metazoa; Chordata; Actinopteri; Cypriniformes; Cyprinidae.